CCGCCGUAGCUCAGCGGCAGAGCGCCCGGCUGUAGGGACCGGGUGGUCGGGGGUUCAAGUCCCCCCGGCGGGAU
RNAcentral lists this transfer RNA (74 nucleotides) under Thermogladius calderae 1633. Its description in RNAcentral is "tRNA-Tyr". It matches the Rfam family "tRNA". From Rfam's summary of the family: Transfer RNA (tRNA) molecules are approximately 80 nucleotides in length. Lineage: Archaea; Thermoproteati; Thermoproteota; Thermoprotei; Desulfurococcales; Desulfurococcaceae. The record is from RNAcentral.